RNAcentral lists this ribosomal RNA (492 nucleotides) under uncultured bacterium. RNAcentral's name for it is "partial 16S ribosomal RNA". It matches the Rfam family "Bacterial small subunit ribosomal RNA", at positions 29 to 507 of the family's 1533-position model. The record is from RNAcentral.
AGUGAACGCUGGCGGUAGGCCUAACACAUGCAAGUCGAACGGCAGCACAGUAAGAGCUUGCUCUUACGGGUGGCGAGUGGCGGACGGGUGAGGAAUACAUCGGCAUCUACUUUUUCGGGGGGGAUAACGUAGAGAAACUUACGCUAAUACCGCAUACGACCUACGGGUGAAAGCAGGGGAUCUUCGGACCUUGCGCGAUUGAAUGAGCUGAUGUCGGAUUAGCUAGUUGGCGGGGUAAAGGCACACCAAGGCGACGAUGCGUAGCUGGUCUGAGAGGAUGAUCAGCCACACUGGAACUGAGACACGGUCCAGACUCCUACGGGAGGCAGCAGCGGGGAAUAUUGGACAAUGGGCGCAAGCCUGAUCCAGCCAUGCCGCGUGAGUGAAGAAGGCCUUCGGGUUGUAAAGCCCUUUUGUUGGGAAAGAAAAGCAGCAGGUUAAUACCCCGCUGUUCUGACGGUACCCAAAGAAUAAGCACCGGCUAACUUCGUG